This 164-nucleotide microRNA precursor is filed under the name Oryza brachyantha (malo sina). RNAcentral's name for it is "MIR812 microRNA precursor family". It matches the Rfam family "MIR812 microRNA precursor family", at positions 27 to 191 of the family's 205-position model. Lineage: Eukaryota; Viridiplantae; Streptophyta; Magnoliopsida; Poales; Poaceae. The record is from Rfam by way of RNAcentral.
UAGAAUGUUUUGACUAUUCGUUUUAUUUGAAUAUUUUUUAUGAUUAAUAUUUUUAUUAUUACUAGAUAAAAACUGAAUAGUAUUUUGUGCUUGACUAAUUUUUUUAAGUUUUUUAUAAAUUUUUCAAAUAAGACGAAUGAUCAAACUUUGGACAUAGAAAUCGA